This 253-nucleotide ribosomal RNA is filed under the name uncultured bacterium. Its description in RNAcentral is "partial 16S ribosomal RNA". It matches the Rfam family "Bacterial small subunit ribosomal RNA", at positions 524 to 776 of the family's 1533-position model. The record is from RNAcentral.
AACGUAGGUGGCGAGCGUUAUCCGGAUUUACUGGGCGUAAAGGGUGUGCAGGCGGGAGUGCAAGUGGGGUAUGAAAUCUCCAGGCUUAACCUGGAGGGGUUAUGCCAGACUGCAUUUCUAGAGGACGAGAGAGGGGCGUGGAAUUCCGGGUGUAGUGGUGAAAUUCGUAGAUAUCGAGAGGAACACCGGUGGCGAAGGCGGCCAACUGGACGAAUACUGACGCUGAAACACGAAAGCGUGGGGAGCAAACAGG